UACGUAGGGUGCGAGCGUUGUCCGGAAUUAUUGGGCGUAAAGGGCUCGUAGGCGGUUUGUCGCGUCGGGAGUGAAAACACCGGGCUUAACCUGGGAAUGGCAGUGGAAACUAGAGAACUUGAAUCUGGCAGAGGGGGGUGGAAUGCCACGUGUAGCAGUGAAAUGCGUAGAUAUGUGGCGGAACACCGAUGGCGAAGGCAGCCCCCUGGGCUGAGAUUGACGCUCAGGCACGAAAGCGUGGGGAGCAAACAGG
RNAcentral lists this ribosomal RNA (253 nucleotides) under uncultured bacterium. RNAcentral describes it as "partial 16S ribosomal RNA". It matches the Rfam family "Bacterial small subunit ribosomal RNA", at positions 524 to 776 of the family's 1533-position model. The record is from RNAcentral.